AGUGAACGCUGGCGGUAGGCCUAACACAUGCGAGUCGAACGGCAGCACAGUAAGAGCUUGCUCUUACGGGUGGCGAGUGGCGGACGGGUGAGGAAUACAUCGGAAUCUACUUUUUCGUGGGGGAUAACGUAGGGAAACUUACGCUAAUACCGCAUACGACCUACGGGUGAAAGCAGGGGAUCUUCGGACCUUGCGCGAUUGAAUGAGCCGAUGUCGGAUUAGCUAGUUGGCGGGGUAAAGGCCCACCAAGGCGACGAUCCGUAGCUGGUCUGAGAGGAUGAUCAGCCACACUGAAACUGGGACACGGUCCAGACUCCUACGGGAGGCAGCAGUGGGGAAUAUUGGACAAUGGGCGCAAGCCUGAUCCAGCCAUACCGCGUGGGUGAAGAAGGCCUUCGGGUUGUAAAGCCCUUUUGUUGGGAAAGAAAAGCAGCAGGUUAAUACCCCGCUGUUCUGACGGUACCCAAAGAAUAAGCACCGGCUAACUUCGUG
Molecule: ribosomal RNA, 492 nt
Filed under: uncultured bacterium
Lineage: Bacteria
Description: partial 16S ribosomal RNA
Rfam family: Bacterial small subunit ribosomal RNA
Source: RNAcentral